Long non-coding RNA from Astatotilapia calliptera (eastern happy), 1089 nucleotides. The record is from Ensembl. NCBI's taxonomy places the organism in Eukaryota, Metazoa, Chordata, Actinopteri, Cichliformes, Cichlidae.
GAGCUCAGCCCAGUUCUUUUUGUUAAGAAGGCUAAGGCCACUGGUUACCAAGCAGCUUGUUUUAUGUGUCUGCAGUUAGCCUUUCUGUUUCCUUCUUCUUAGGCUAAAACUGGGUUCUGGACAUCUGCACAACCGGCACAAGGACAUUACAUUCAAACUCAGAGGAUUCAUAUUUUAGGUCUGCAAUGAGAAAUCUUCCUGAAAUUCAGGGUAAGCACCUCCAUUAUUAUUUGGACAUCAGCAAAUAAAAAUGAUUCCAACCAAGUUGUUACAGCCAUUGUCCUCAGUUUCUUUUGAAAGACAAACACAAUUUGCUGCGUGUCAAGAUCUCUCCUUUGCAAGAAACAAAUAUUUUAGGCUUAGAAACACUGACAGGAAGUGUGAUGUGCAGAGCAUCGGGCCACCAGAUUUCUCAGUGAAACUGUACAGCAGUCUGUCUACUUCAGAAAUAAGGGAAAGAAAGAAAAAUAUAAAGAUAGUUGCACCUCAGCCCAAAGAAAUGAAGAGGAGAUAUCAGACGUUUCUACCAAAUUCUCUGUCCUCGUGUCCAAAGAGAAAAGAACCUCCAAAGUUCAUCACUUCACACAGGCCUCCUGAUGCUCUGGAGACUGAACUGAUGUUUGUCAAGAUUGGAAAGUAUCAUUCUGGGACGUACAAGAACCACAAACCUCAUGACUUCAGACCAAGACACAAACAAAGAAGAGAAGCGUACAGUGCUUUCCUCGACCGUGUGGAAGAGAAACUUGGGAGAACCUGGAAAAAUAAACCGUGACUCUCUGUCGUCCUUUAGCCCUGUAGCUCUGAGGUUUUGAGACUUCUACAUCAUCAGUGUGAUUUUACUUUUUACAAUACAUUUUUAAGCAAUUAACUACACACAAAAGCCAGAUGUAGCAAAUGUUAUGUUUUCCUAUUUACUUAUCAGAAGGUUUAAUAAACAUUUGAAUAAACAAACCAGUUUCAAAAAGUUUGAAUUUUCUUGCAAUGAUUUCAUGGUUUAGGCUUCACAGGUUUCAACACAUUUGCUUCUUUCUCUAAAUCCUCCCUCGGUCAUGCUGCAAUAGACUUCGGCUGCUGGGGGCUUGCCAUGAU